GACGAACGCUGGCGGCGUGCUUAACACAUACAAGUCGAACGGAAAGGCCCCUUUGGGGGUACUCGAGUGGCGAACGGGUGAGUAACACGUGAGUAACCUGCCCUUGACUUCGGGAUAACUUCAGGAAACUGGGGCUAAUACCGGAUAGGAAUCCUUGCUGCAUGGUGGGGGUUGGAAAGCUUCGGCGGUUUUGGAUGGACUCGCGGCUUAUCAGCUUGUUGGUGGGGUAGUGGCUUACCAAGGCUUUGACGGGUAGCCGGCCUGAGAGGGCGACCGGCCACAUUGGGACUGAGAUACGGCCCAGACUCCUACGGGAGGCAGCAGUGGGGAAUAUUGCACAAUGGGCGGAAGCCUGAUGCAGCAACGCCGCGUGCGGGAUGACGGCCUUCGGGUUGUAAACCGCUUUCAGCAGGGGCGAAGCUUGUGGUGACGGUACCUGCAGAAGAAGCACCGGCUAACUACGUG
RNAcentral lists this ribosomal RNA (465 nucleotides) under uncultured bacterium. RNAcentral's name for it is "partial 16S ribosomal RNA". It matches the Rfam family "Bacterial small subunit ribosomal RNA", at positions 28 to 507 of the family's 1533-position model. The record is from RNAcentral.